AUCGGAUUGAUACUAAGCCAUGCGAGUCAUUGUAGUAAUACAAGGCAGACGGCUCAGUAACGCGUAGUCAACCUAACCUAUGGACGGGGAUAACCUCGGGAAACUGAGAAUAAUACCAGAUAGAACAUUAUGCCUGGAAUGGUUUAUGUUUAAAAUAAUUUAUUGCCGUAGGAUGGGACUGCGGCCUAUCAGUUUGUUGGUGAGGUAAUGGCCCACCAAGACUAUUACAGGUACGGGCUCUGAGAGGAGUAGCCCGGAGAUGGGUACUGAGACACGGACCCAGGCCCUAUGGGGCGCAGCAGGCGAGAAAACUUUGCAAUGUGCGAAAGCACGACAAGGUUAAUCCGAGUGAUUUCUGCUAAAGGAAUCUUUUGUCAGUCCUAGAAACACUGUUGAAUAAGGGGUGGGCAAGUUCUGGUGUCAGCCGCCGCGGUAAAACCAGCACCUCAAGUGGUCAGGAUGAUUAUUGGGCCCAAAGCAUCCGUAGCCUGCUUUGUCAGUUUUCGGUUAAAUCCAUACGCUCAACGUAUGGGCCGCCGGAAAUACUGCAAAGCUAGGGAGUGGGAGAGGUAGACGGUACUCGGGAGGAAGGGGUAAAAUCCUUUGAUCUCUCGAUGACCACCUGUGGCGAAGGCGGUCUACCAGAACACGUCCGACGGUGA
RNAcentral lists this ribosomal RNA (662 nucleotides) under uncultured archaeon. RNAcentral's name for it is "bacterial SSU rRNA". It matches the Rfam family "Archaeal small subunit ribosomal RNA", at positions 32 to 700 of the family's 1478-position model. The record is from RNAcentral.